CAUCAAAACCCUUUUAGCCAAUGGCAUUUCUGUCCUUGCCAUCAUUGAAAUUCCCUUAAAGAUUGAAUCUUUACCCUUAUUUUCGAGAGAAAAAUCCUUCAAAUUUACUGGCCUCUCCAAAGGAACAAACCCAAAUGAACUAGCUUCCCCAUUAAUCUUCCCACUUGGGCUACUAGGUGUGUUGGAGAAGGUGGAUUUUCUCAAACUGAAAGAGCCCAGUCGAGGUUUGAAUAGAAUAGAAAAGGUAGGAUUAGAAGUGGGAUUGUUAGGGGAGAAAGAGAAGUUAGCAGAGAUAAUAAGGGGGGAUUCGUUUGGGGAGCCAUAUUGGCCUAUGCCUGAUUUAAGAGUAAGAGUAAAAGGUGGUGGUGGGGUGGUGGUGGAAGUCGAGGCAGUGGUGGCGGUGGUGCUGCUGCUGGUGGAGUAGGAGAGUUUGAGAGUGGGGCCAGAUGGAAAGUGGGUGGAAAGUGAAAGGGAAAGGUCAGAAGGGUGAUGAGUGGUGGUAGAUAAUCCAGAGAGAAAAGGAAGCUUGAAAAUGGUUACAGGGAUUUUAGCCCUGAACAGGAGUGAGUGGAUUUGGUUGUUCUGCUGUGGUUGUUGCUGUUGUAGCUGGUGCUGAUUAUCUUGGAGCUUAAUAAGAGAAAACUUCAUCUCUGAUCAGUUUGCUUAGUCUACUGCCACAUGCAGCUUGCCUUUUGUCUCUCUGUUCUGGGGGGUAUUGGGGUUCACGGUAGAAUGAGUCAUAAAAACAAGAAGAAGAUAAAGAUAACUUUCUCGGAACUAAUCAGAUUUGAGGUCCACAUCCAUUCAAGAACUUUCUUGUAUGACAGAGAUUCAGAGACAGGAUUAAAGAUGAAUAGUACAACAUGCCUAUGGGCUUUUCUUGAAUUUCAUGUUUUGGGCUCGAUGGACUACUAAUUCAUUAAAAGAGAGGCUUUAGUUUCUGUUCGGAUUCGUGAUUUGAAGGAUAUAAGGUUAAAAAAUGAUUGAAAAAAUAUAAAAAAAAAAAUUUUGAAAAAUUUCAAUUCAAACAAGGACUUGGAUCUCCUUAAAUUUAUAUUUAAGCCCAUGUAUAAUGUUGUUUAGGGUUGGCUACUUCAUGCACAUUAUUUAAAAAAUGAAUUACUGAUAAUUAAGUCUGGAAGAUAUGAGAGCUAAUGAAGCAAAAUUGGAAGUAGUCAUCAAGUCAUUUUUGUGCAACAGAUUUAUGUUCCACUUUUUAUUAUAUUGCUAUUUCCUUUUCAUAAUUAUCAUAAUUUAAUUUUUUUUAUUUUCUUAAAAUCUAAUAACUAUUAACUAAGUACUAUACACAAAAUUUGAAGACCUCGAAAUAUCAAAAUGUAUAAAAAAUGAAACGCAAAAAUCUCCUUCCCAUGUGCUUUAAAUUUGAUUUUAUAAUGCUCAAUGCACGCACUUUUCAUCUUUUUAAUUUAUUCAUUCACAUUUAUUCCUCCUUUCUACAUGCUUCAUUUAUUUAUUUAUUUUGAAAAUUUAAAAAUAGAGGUUCCACUUACUUACGUGUCUUUAAGGUGCGCGGUAGUCAAACCUCAACAUGCAUGCAUGCGCAUAAAUGAAUAGUGGAAAUUAAAUUAAAAUCUUUGAUUAAUUUUGUGUUUUCCAAUGACAUGUUACUCAAUGCAUCUAAGUUUGCAUCUCAUGAAAUUAUUUGAGUGUUAUGAAAUUAAUGAAGUCUUUUUAACACAUGCAUUGAAAUAGUCAUCCUCCUAUAAGGUUCAAUAAUAAAUUGAUAGAUUUUCUUUCAAUUUAUGUGUUUGAAGUAAUAAAUUUAUGAAUCCAUAUUAACGGUGGUACAUGUAUUUUUGGUCUUGUAUUACGUAUAAAUAGGGAUCAUCUUUAAUUUCAUUUGUAACCUUGAAAACUCUGAAUAAACUAGUGAAUAAAAGUAUAAAUUUCUCUCUAUUUUUUUGUCUACUUUUAAUAUUGUUCUAUUUGUUUAUAAUUCAAUGUACAAUUACUACACAUCACUACCAAUCAAAUAUAGAUUAGCAUUAAUUUCACAACAUUGAGUUGUUUAUUAGAGGUUUUUUGCAACAAUGUCUAAAAAAUUUUGCAUUUGGAUUGCAAUUUUUCAAAGAAAUUGUUACGUUUUCUGUGAACGCAUUUUUCAAUCACUUUUUUACCUCAUAUAUAUCAAAUCGCUACAAUAAUUUUUUUUUACAAAAAAUCCAGAAAAAUACACUACAAACAAAGCCUUAUUUAGCACGCGUACGCAUAUUCAAAACAAGGACAAAUGUACAAAUUGCGUUGAUUUCUCAUUACAAGAACUUUGCUUUUCUAAAUUGGAAAGGCCCUCCAAUAUUGAACAUCCUUUUAGACAAAUUCAACUUUCGGCUGUCCAACAUUUUUACUCCGUACCGAAAUUUUCAACAUGUCAAACUCAAAGUGAAACCAGCCACAGGUAUCCAGUUGAAGCAAAGCACGUGCACUGUUUGAGAGGAUAUCCCAGCGACAGAAAGAAUCAACUAACUAAAAUUAGUAAUAUACCAAUGGAUCCUAUGCCUGCCAAUAUUGGUAUGCGAGCAAUUGCCAUUAUUUACUUAAUCAGUAGUAUUUUAUUGUUAUUCUAUUCAAAUGAAACCAUAGCAGAUUCGUAGCAAAUGCAUUGGAAGCGUCAAUACAAAUUGGCUCAGUCGAUAAAAGGAUGGAUCACUUUUUCAUGAAAAUGUCGAAUUUCGUUGUUGAAGCGAAGAUUGUAUUGAUAAAUGAUUGAUAAAAUCCUCAUAGCAGAUCGCAGCAAAUACAUAGAAAGCAUCAACAUAAAUUAGCUCAAUUGAUAAAAGAAUGAAUCAUUUUUUCAUGAAAAAAUCGAAUUUUGUUGUUAAUGUGAAAAUCGUAUUGAUAAAUGAUUGAUAAAAUCCCGAAAGCAAACUAUGAUUCGAAACAUGUCCUGAUUCAUUCAAAUAUUUUGUUAAAAUAAAAAGAACACAAAACUAUGAACCCUUGAGAUAUUUGCCAGAUGGACAUUGUCCCUAUCCAUUCUUGGCUUCUGUUCUUUAGUACUACUAGUGACUGGACUUAUUAGAUGUGGCAAGCAGGGGACAAAUUAAAUAAUGGGAGUAGUCAAUAUCAUCAUGUCAUAGUCCAAAAUGUCACUUGUGGGACAUUGUUGAUUGCUAAUACAAUAUAUCAGCAGCCAGACAUGUUCAGCUGAUAUAAAUACAGGAGGGAGGCAGUCCCUGAUUUUUUAAACUCGGGCCGUGGCUUACCGGUCCCUCGUGCGCUACUUGCUUUGCCUUUUGUUGUUUGUGUGACUUGUUUUUCUCUCAUUCAAAUUAUUGUACAUGAAUAUUUUCUGAUUUUUGAUUGUACAAAUAAAAGAGUGUUCAAAAUUUGGGUAGAUCCGAUUUUAAAAAAUUCAAUGAUCUUGAGCUACACUGAUGUGACACAAUCUGAAUUAUUAAAUUUUUAAAAACUAAGUCUACCAAGUAUGAAUAAGAAAGAAUUACUACGUGAACACUGAUAAAAAAAAAAGUGAAAUUGACAAUUUUGAGUUGAGUCUACAGUUUAGAUGUGAUAUUUAUGGUUAACUGCGACCUUUAUAAUCACGAAAGUAUGUGCUAUGAUGAUUAUGAAACUCUUUUCUUUUUUUUUUCCCUUUAUAGUGAAAGUAUAAUUGUUAAUUUUUAUUUUAGAUUUCGACUUUUUUCUUCUCUUUUUAUUCUUUUAGUUCUUUAAUGGAAAAGACAAUAUGAUUGCAUAUAUGAGAUGUGUGUUCAUUAAUGCAACUUAAUUGGUACUUUUAUUUAUUUUAGUAUUUGUUUAAAACCUACUACUUACAAUCUCUUCAGUUUAUCAAUUAUCAUCCAAUCCAAUUCUCCCUUCCAAACCGUUCAAGUUAUUUACCGUUCACGUAAAUUGGAACCCUAAUGAUCCAAUCAAACACUGCAUAAAUUAUCGAAAAUGUUGCCCCUCAUUAGGUUGACAUAUUAUUACCUCAUAAACUUCCAAGUGACGCAAAAAGGUCAAUUUUUAGUUCAGGGACCAACCACUUAGAAUUCUUUACAUAUUUACCAUGUGACUUGAUGUAAUUCUCCUCACAAACGUCACGUUCCAUUAUAUAAGAUUUCAUUAGCGGACUUUUCUUGAAAAGCAUGGUAUCUUAAUAGUUAACUAAAUAGGUUCAUGAUCAACUUAAACUUGUCAUGACUAGUCCAAAAUUGGUUUCUCAAUUAGUCAAAUCAAAUAUGGAUGAAUACUAUCAUCCUUUAACUUAAUAAAACCGAGUCCUACAUGGUUUUGCUAGGUGCAAAAUCUAAACCUCAAUCGUUUAUUCAACCGUGGAUUAAUAGAUGUGCAAACCUUUCCUAAAUGACUGAAAUCCUACACAAACUCAAUGUGUAGAAAUGCUUUCGAACUUGGACUUAAGUAAUAAUUAAGUUAAUGGAUAUACAAUGUUGAAACUAGUUAAUUAAGAAUGAAACCAUGCUUAAAAUUGUAAAAGGUAUGCAUUUCAUUCUUUUAGAAACUUUGGUUUGUAUUUGAGUUUUUGGUAAUAUUUUUUAACAAAUAUACUAGCGAUAUGAUAUAUGUGAAGUAAAAAAUAAUUAAAAAUAUGUCAAGAAAAUAUUUUUAAUUUUUUAUUGAAAAACUCACAAUCUAAAUAUUUAUAUGUUUUUUUGUCACCACUCGUCUGAUAAUAUGUUUUUUCAAGGGUUAAUGUUAUUUUGCACCCUUCAACUAUAUUCGAAACUUUACUUUGGUCCUUAAACUUUAAAGAGAGAUGCUUUAGUUUCUAAAGUAUAAAAUCUAUCCUCUUUUAGUCCCUAAAAUUAAAAUUUAUUUCACAUUAGUUCCUAAAAUAUAAAAUUUUUUCUAACAUAAGCAUAAAAUUCGUCUCCUUUUUGUCAAAGAUUUUACAUAAAGCGAGGAUCAUUAAACUGUCUCACUUUAAAGGUUAGAUGAUAAAGUCAGAUUUGGAUACAAUUGAAGGGUACAAAGUGAAAUUAAUCCUUUUAUAACUCGGUUACACUCUUAAAUUGUCAUUAAUAUUUUUUUUCCGGGCUAGCAGAUAUACAUGUAUGACUAGAUAAAGGGUGUUUUUACAUGUCUUUUAAAUUUUUUUCACUAUAGGUGGAGUUCGAAUCCCCGACUUACUGCCAAAAAAGGUUUUGGUGGCCACAAAAUUGUCACUAGUAUCACGCUAGCUAAUACUACAAGCAAGGCAAGAAAAGACCAAAAGUUGGAAGACCACGCGCAUGGCGCCACGAGUGGGGGUGAUCUUCUCUUCUCUGCAGCCAAUCAAAAAAUAAAAAAAAUAAAAAAAAGCAUGCAUGUCCAAGUCCAACUGCCCAGGCUCUGUUAUUUUGUUUUUUUUUGUUCAACGAAACUUGCUCUCCUCCUCGUGUCCCCCGUCCCCUUGCCUUUUCCCCCUUCCUUUUCGGGCGUAAUUAACCACAGCGCAUCAAAUUGAGUCCAUUUCAUAAUUUGAAACAAAAAAAAAAUACUGCUCACUAGGCACAUAAUAGCGUUGCUUUCUGGCACUUACUCUUACACUAAAUUUUUGGUUUCUCUUUUGACUUCCACAACUACAAAAUUCCUUUGCCCUUAAAACAAUUUAGAUUGGCACGCAUAAUCUAGAGAUGAGUUUGACAUAAAUCUGAAUAUAGAUAAUCUAAAACCAUAAGGCACUGGAAAUAAAUACUCCUGCCCAUUAUCUAGACAAAAUUGUUUACAUGCCAGUUACAGUAGCCUCCACCUAAUCCUUGUGAGUUAAUGAUAGCUCAUCACACAAGCCAUCGAAUGAUAGCUCAUCACACAAGACAUCGACAUAAAACUAAUUUCAAAAUACUUCAAUUAAGUUAUCAAAUUUACAUUCCAUUUUACAAGAAACAGAAAAAAGUAUCAAAAUAGGGACAAUAAACAAGUUAAACCUACACUAGAUAGAACUGCUAAAGUAUGCUUAGGAAGGCUUAAGUCAUGGCAUGGUAUGAUUAUCAAUAAACAAUAACUGUCUUGUUUGUGUUGUAUGGGUUAUCGUCCCUUCAUAAGUCAUCUAUGUCAAGUUCAGAUAAGUUACAAUCUCCAUAACACCCAACUACUUCAACCACCCUACCAGGAUACAAGUGACACCUCCACCAAAGCAGUGACUUUGUGAAUGAAUAGCUAAAGAAGUUGACAAAGCAUGCAUAACUCCACUCUAUCACAUUACUCAAUGAAAAUUCAAUCAUAAUGAAGGGGCACAAAAAGCAAAUAACUAAACAAAUGCAGAGUUCUUCAAAUAUUGAAAUGGGCAAAAGAAAUUCAUCAAGAAACUUUGAUUGUCAAGAAUUAUCAAGCAAACUACUUUAUACCAGUGCAGAGAUAUUAGAGGCCAAUUUGCAUCAAGCUUCAAGAGCUUCAGGCUUAAUAUACAUCGAAAGCUAAAAAAAACCCAAAAAGUACACAAGUCAAAAACUUGCAUCAACUCGAACCUCAAGAAGAGGAGGCAGCUUUAAUAGCUCUCUCCAAUUCACUCUCCACAUCACUCAACCUAUUACCAUUCUUCUUAACCUCUUUCUUUGAAUUCUCUUCCCCGCCAUUCUUCUUGCUUCUCCACUGCUCAAAACCACUUGAUUCUUCAACCACAGGAAUCGUUUUCUUCCUAUUAGUCUCACCCAGAGCACCACUACUACCACCAUUCUUCCCCGAGGGCCCCAAUCUCAUUUCUUCCAAGUUGUGCUUCAUUUCUCUAUUCUCCCUCUGCAGCAUAUCCAAUUCCCUCUUCAUCCAAAGGCACAUUCCUUUCAACAAUUCCGAAUCACCACCAACACUUCCCUCACUUCUCUUCUGUUUCCCUCCUUCCACUUCUUUAACCGAUCAACCCUCUCAAUCCCAAUCUUAUUGACAGCCAUAUAAGGCAAUUGCUUACUGAAAUCAUCAGGAAAAUUCACACCCCACCUGAGAGUCAUCAAAACCCUUUUAGCCAAUGGCAUUUCUGUCCUUGCCAUCAUUGAAAUUCCCUUAAAGAUUGAAUCUUUACCCUUAUUUUCGAGAGAAAAAUCCUUCAAAUUUACUGGCCUCUCCAAAGGAACAAACCCAAAUGAACUAGCUUCCCCAUUAAUCUUCCCACUUGGGCUACUAGGUGUGUUGGAGAAGGUGGAUUUUCUCAAACUGAAAGAGCCAGUCGAGGUUUGAAUAGAAUAGAAAAGGUAGGAUUAGAAGUGGGAUUGUUAGGGGAGAAAGAGAAGUUAGCAGAGAUAAUAAGGGGGGAUUCGUUUGGGGAGCCAUAUUGGCCUAUGCCUGAUUUAAGAGUAAGAGUAAAAGGUGGUGGUGGGGUGGUGGUGGAAGUCGAGGCAGUGGUGGCGGUGGUGCUGCUGCUGGUGGAGUAGGAGAGUUUGAGAGUGGGGCCAGAUGGAAAGUGGGUGGAAAGUGAAAGGGAAAGGUCAGAAGGGUGAUGAGUGGUGGUAGAUAAUCCAGAGAGAAAAGGAAGCUUGAAAAUGGUUACAGGGAUUUUAGCCCUGAACAGGAGUGAGUGGAUUUGGUUGUUCUGCUGUGGUUGUUGCUGUUGUAGCUGUGCUGAUUAUCUUGGAGCUUAAUAAGAGAAAACUUCAUCUCUGAUCAGUUUGCUUAGUCUACUGCCACAUGCAGCUUGCCUUUUGUCUCUCUGUUCUGGGGGGUAUUGGGGUUCACGGUAGAAUGAGUCAUAAAAACAAGAAGAAGAUAAAGAUAACUUUCUCGGAACUAAUCAGAUUUGAGGUCCACAUCCAUUCAAGAACUUUCUUGUAUGACAGAGAUUCAGAGACAGGAUUAAAGAUGAAUAGUACAACAUGCCUAUGGGCUUUUCUUGAAUUUCAUGUUUUGGGCUCGAUGGACUACUAAUU
RNAcentral lists this long non-coding RNA (7817 nucleotides) under Coffea arabica (coffee). RNAcentral's name for it is "long non-coding RNA (CARA_LNC005860)". Lineage: Eukaryota; Viridiplantae; Streptophyta; Magnoliopsida; Gentianales; Rubiaceae. The record is from RNAcentral.